Molecule: ribosomal RNA, 118 nt
Filed under: Paludibacteraceae bacterium
Lineage: Bacteria; Pseudomonadati; Bacteroidota; Bacteroidia; Bacteroidales; Paludibacteraceae
Description: partial 16S ribosomal RNA
Rfam family: Bacterial small subunit ribosomal RNA
Source: RNAcentral
ACAAUGAAGAGUUUGAUCCUGGCUCAGGAUGAACGCUAGCGACAGGCCUAACACAUGCAAGUCGAGGGGCAGCACGAGGUAGCAAUACUUGGGUGGCGACCGGCGGACGGGUGAGUAA